RNAcentral lists this ribosomal RNA (432 nucleotides) under uncultured bacterium. RNAcentral describes it as "partial 16S ribosomal RNA". It matches the Rfam family "Bacterial small subunit ribosomal RNA", at positions 28 to 506 of the family's 1533-position model. The record is from RNAcentral.
GACGAACGCUGGCGGCAUGCCUAACACAUGCAAGUCGAACGAGACCUUCGGGUCUAGUGGCGCACGGGUGCGUAACGCGUGGGAACCUGCCCUUAGGUUCGGAAUAACUCCCCGAAAGGGGUGCUAAUACCGGAUAAUGUCUUCGGACCAAAGAUUUAUCGCCUUUGGAUGGGCCCGCGUUGGAUUAGCUAGUUGGUAGGGUAAAAGCCUACCAAGGCGACGAUCCAUAGCUGGUCUGAGAGGAUGAUCAGCCACACUGGGACUGAGACACGGCCCAGACUCCGACGGGAGGCAGCAGUGGGGAAUAUUGGACAAUGGGCGAAAGCCUGAUCCAGCAAUGCCGCGUGAGUGAUGAAGGCCUUAGGGUUGUAAAGCUCUUUUACCCGGGAUGAUAAUGACAGUACCGGGAGAAUAAGCUCCGGCUAACUCCGU